GAAUAAACCUCAGGAUGAAAAUGUUAAUAACUCGAUAUAAAUGGGAAUAUCCAAUUAUCCGUACACAAAUCAAUAUUGUUCGCUUGGGUCCAACGCUUGACCUGACCUGCAAUUUGGAUUUUUCGGUUAGAAUUUGAUGGAUACCAAUAAUUGGAGGCCUACUUCUCAAGGCGGAGAACCCAUCAUGGACACUGGUGAUUGGAGAAAUCACUUGCAGCCUGAUUCACGACAAAGAAUUGUCAAAAAGAUGCAGUUGUAGUGAUUUGUAUGGUUACUGAAGUUUGUAGUCACUAGUUAGUGAGACCACCAUGAACGACUCUUUAUCCGCUGUUGACAAGUUGUUUGUUAAGUUGGCGUGUGAACACUGAGAAUUGAAGCAUGGAUCAGCUAGCAGAUAGGGGGCCAGUCUGUGGAUUACAAAUAUAAAGCUUGAGUGCCAAAUUCAUCUGAUAGGGUUUAAUGCACUCUGUCAUUCUGGACUACCUAUAUGAGAAUACAUCCUUGUCUCAAAAAUUAUUGUUUGGAGUACCAUUGUAACUGUGCUAUGGAGAAAUAACAGGUCACUGAUAGCAAAAGAGGUUUCCUGCUUAGUAGUUCUUUAUCAUUAAUGUGUACUUAUAUUGAGUUAACAUGGAAACAAGGGAGUGUGGAAGAUGCUUCACUACAAAUAAAAGGAUUUAAGUUAUUUUAAAAUGGCAUGUCGUAAACCAGAUAUUGAUGUGUCACCAUCUUGCUUGUGAUGGAGUUAUUUAUCUAGAAUUAUGUGGUCUCAUGUGAUGAUAAACAUGGCUUAUGUCAUUAUUAAGUCCAUUCUUUUGAACAUCAAGAGAUAUUUGUUUACUCCAAAUUCUUUUCAUGGAGGAUCAUGAUCACUCCACUUGGCUAAUAUCUACUUUCUUUUUUGGCAGCAACAUAUGAGUUUGAAACUGAAAUUUAUUAUCAGUAGGAAGCUGAAAAUAUUGAGUCAUUGAGUUACAAUAUGACUAUUAGCUUACAAGUUGCUCU
Molecule: long non-coding RNA, 1005 nt
Organism: Pistacia vera
Lineage: Eukaryota; Viridiplantae; Streptophyta; Magnoliopsida; Sapindales; Anacardiaceae
Exons: 3
Source: RefSeq, a predicted model, not a curated record